GUCUAUGGCCAUACCACCCUGAAUGCGCCCAGUCUCCUCUGAUCUCAGAAGCUAAGCAGGGCCUGGUUAGUACUUGGAUGGGAGAACGGUAUUCUCAGAAUUUGCAAAUAAGGGCGGGGCGCGGUGGAAU
This 130-nucleotide ribosomal RNA is filed under the name Microcebus murinus (gray mouse lemur). The record is from RNAcentral. Lineage: Eukaryota; Metazoa; Chordata; Mammalia; Primates; Cheirogaleidae.